CCAAGGAGUCUAACAUGUGCGCGAGUCAUGGGGUCUUACGAAACCCAAAGGCGCAAUGAAAGUGAAAUGCGGACUUGGGCCGCAGGUAGGCAGGAUCCCGUCGCUUGCGGCGGGCGCACUGCCGGCCCGUCUCGUCGCGGCAUUGCCCGUGAGGCGGAGCAAGAGCGCACACGUUGGGACCCGAAAGAUGGUGAACUAUGCCUGAGUAGGACGAAGUCAGAGGAAACUCUGAUGGAGGUCCGUAGCGAUUCUGACGUGCAAAUCGAUCGUCAAACUUGGGUAUAGGGGCGAAAGACUAAUCGAACCAUCUA
Molecule: ribosomal RNA, 311 nt
Filed under: Hiatella arctica
Lineage: Eukaryota; Metazoa; Mollusca; Bivalvia; Adapedonta; Hiatellidae
Description: eukaryotic LSU rRNA
Rfam family: Eukaryotic large subunit ribosomal RNA
Source: RNAcentral